UCUAGCAGAGUGCUUGUGGUAUGGAAGAAAGGAGUCAAUAAACAUCUUUGGUUCUUUUUUCUUUUAAUGUAUGAAUAAUUUCAUGAUCUCAUUAUUAUGUGACAAAAUUGGGAAUGUAGAGACAUUAAGGCUGCAAGAUGGAUGAUAGAAGCAUAAACUUGAAAAUGGGAACAGCCCGAAUACCAAAGUCACUGCUCAGAUGAGAGACACCCAAAAAGCCAGCAGAUCAGGAACAUUCAUAUUUGAUUCUGAGUUGGGAUGUUCUGAAGAGAUUGGUGUUGGAGCCAUGUGGUCCAGUGUGUCAUUCAAAGCUACACUUUCCUUUUGUUGAUUUUCUGUUUGGAUGAUCUACCCAUUGAUGAUUUGAAAAGAAAGCUAAAAGAACAUAUUCUGAAGGCUGGAAAUGUGGAACCUGCUGAUUUUAUAGAAGAAAAAUAAAAACAUUUAGAUAUCUGUCUGUUUACAUGUUUAAGGGAGUGCAUGUCAAAAUAAAAGUCAAUCCGGCACU
Callorhinus ursinus (northern fur seal) is the source of this 508-nucleotide non-coding RNA. The record is from RefSeq and is a predicted model, not a curated record. NCBI's taxonomy places the organism in Eukaryota, Metazoa, Chordata, Mammalia, Carnivora, Otariidae.